RNAcentral lists this ribosomal RNA (371 nucleotides) under uncultured organism. RNAcentral describes it as "bacterial SSU rRNA". It matches the Rfam family "Bacterial small subunit ribosomal RNA", at positions 526 to 896 of the family's 1533-position model. The record is from RNAcentral.
CGUAGGGUGCGAGCGUUAAUCGGAAUUACUGGGCGUAAAGUGUGCGCAGGCGGCCGAGCAAGUCGAGUGUGAAAGCCCCGGGCUUAACUUGGGAAUUGCGCUCGAAACUACUUGGCUGGAGUGUGGCAGAGGAAGGUGGAAUUCCACGUGUAGCGGUGAAAUGCGUAGAGAUGUGGAGGAACACCGAUGGCGAAGGCAGCCUUCUGGGCCAACACUGACGCUCAUGCACGAAAGCGUGGGGAGCAAACAGGAUUAGAUACCCUGGUAGUCCACGCCCUAAACGAUGAUGACUAGUUGUUGGGGAGUUAAAUCCCUUAGUAACGCAGCUAACGCGUGAAGUCAUCCGCCUGGGGAGUACGGUCGCAAGAUUA